Molecule: ribosomal RNA, 255 nt
Filed under: uncultured bacterium
Lineage: Bacteria
Description: partial 16S ribosomal RNA
Rfam family: Bacterial small subunit ribosomal RNA
Source: RNAcentral
UACAGAGACUGCAAGCGUUAUUCGGAUUCACUGGGCGUAAAGGGUGCGCAGGCGGCCGAGUGUUGUGAGGCGUGAAAGCCCGGGGCUUAACCCCGGAAUUGCACCUCAAACUACACGGCUAGAGCAUUGGAGAGGGUAGCAGAAUUCAUGGGUGUAGCAGUGAAAUGCGUAGAUAUCAGGAGGAACACCGGUGGCGAAGGCGGAUCUCUGGGCCUUACCUGACGCUCAGGUGCGAAAGCUAGGGGAGCAAACAGG